AACCUUUGCUGUCUUGGAACAGAUCACCACUGCAAGAGGGGAAGUUGCUACUGUGAUGAAUUCUGCCAUGUGGUACCAGACUGCUACCCAGACCACAGUGUCCUCUGCAACCCUCCUUCUCAGAUGACCAAGAUGGUGCUGCAGAUGGUGCUGAGGAUGGAGAACCCACCAAGCCCCGCUAGGAGCCACCUAGACUGGAUGUAGAGCAUGGUGAGCUCCCUGCAGGUUCUCUGAGAAGGGGUGGAUGGCAGCCUGCUCCUUGCCUUUGUGGCCUCCAGACCCCAAAGUCAGGGAACCAAAAGAAGAAAGGGGCCAUAGCUAGGGCAGAGCUCCACUGCAAUGAUUGUUUUAGGGGUAGGAGCCAGGAUUGCUGUCUGUGGACACUGAAAUUUGAAUCUCAUAUACUUUUCAUGUGUGACAAAACAUUAUUCUUCUUUUGUUCUUCUCCUACCAUCUAAAAAUGUAGAAAACAUUCUUAACCUAUGAGUUGCACAAAAACAGGCAGUGGCCAGAUUUGGCCCAUAGACCAUAGUUUGCUGACUUCUGCCCUAAAUCAUCCUCCAUUUCUUUCCUUCUGUGUCCUUGUUACUGACAAAGCCACUUUCCCUAAAAUGGGGUCUUUCCCUGUUUGGUGCCAUGAAGCCAAUAUGCAAAACCGAAAGUGAGCCUCAAGCAGUACAGGCUUUAUUUGGUGGCCAUGGAAUUGAGAAGUGAGAGCUUGGCUCACAAAUCAACUUUUCUGCUCGUGAGACCCAGGAAGUCACAGAUACAGGGCAUCUUUAGUGAAGGGGCUGAGCAUUAAAAGCAAGGGGAGGAGUGGCCAGGUGCAAUGGCUCACUCCCAUAAACCCAGAACUUUGGGAGGCCAAAAUGAGAGGAUUGCUGAGACCAGGAGUUUGAGACCAUCCUGGUCAACAUAGUGAUACACCCCCAUCUCU
RNAcentral lists this long non-coding RNA (937 nucleotides) under Pan troglodytes (chimpanzee). RNAcentral's name for it is "lincRNA". The record is from RNAcentral. Lineage: Eukaryota; Metazoa; Chordata; Mammalia; Primates; Hominidae.